UCUUCAUCUUCUUCUUCUUCUUCUUUUUCUUUUUUGAUCAAUGAGUUAAAGAUUGGUGGUUAGCAUUGAUACAUGGAGGUUUAAUCUUCCUUGAUUCAAAUCUAAUUCAUCUUGAUCAUGGAUCAAGUGAAUGGCUUUGCAUUAAGGAUAGAUUGCUUCCUAAAUCAUGCAAAGGACCUAAAUCAAUACAAGAUCAUUUC
RNAcentral lists this long non-coding RNA (200 nucleotides) under Lathyrus oleraceus (garden pea). RNAcentral's name for it is "Pisum sativum (pea) long non-coding RNA (PSAT_LNC015193)". The record is from RNAcentral. Lineage: Eukaryota; Viridiplantae; Streptophyta; Magnoliopsida; Fabales; Fabaceae.